GAACGAUGCUUUCGGGCAUAGUGGCGCACGGGUGCGUAACGCGUGGGAAUCUGCCCCUUGGUUCGGAAUAACUCAGAGAAAUUUGAGCUAAUACCGGAUGACGACGUAAGUCCAAAGAUUUAUCGCCGAGGGAUGAGCCCGCGUAGGAUUAGCUAGUUGGUGGGGUAAAGGCCUACCAAGGCGACGAUCCUUAGCUGGUCUGAGAGGAUGAUCAGCCACACUGGGACUGAGACACGGCCCAG
This 242-nucleotide ribosomal RNA is filed under the name uncultured bacterium. Its description in RNAcentral is "partial 16S ribosomal RNA". It matches the Rfam family "Bacterial small subunit ribosomal RNA", at positions 64 to 334 of the family's 1533-position model. The record is from RNAcentral.